GAGUAAGAUAGAUUCGUUAGUAAAUUGACACAUAUACUUCAACAAUGUUCUAUAAACUGUUUGUCAUUGUCGCUAUGCUGGCAGGAGCCCUGGCUGCUCCAAAACCUGCUCCAUCACCUCAAUAUCUGACGUAUACAGCAGGCUUGGACUACAUUUAUCCAGGAAAUGUUCCAUCUGCUAUCUCGCCGUAUUCUUCAUCAUUCUACCCUCUUUCAUAUGGUGGAUAUCCUACAGAAUACUACCUGCGCAGAAAAUAAAAUAUAACUGAUUUUUUUUUAAUCUACUGACUAUAUUAAUAAAUACUUAUAGUUAUAAUU
Molecule: long non-coding RNA, 317 nt
Organism: Pieris napi
Lineage: Eukaryota; Metazoa; Arthropoda; Insecta; Lepidoptera; Pieridae
Exons: 2
Source: RefSeq, a predicted model, not a curated record